This 274-nucleotide long non-coding RNA is filed under the name Mytilus galloprovincialis (Mediterranean mussel). Lineage: Eukaryota; Metazoa; Mollusca; Bivalvia; Mytilida; Mytilidae. The record is from RNAcentral.
CAAUCAUAUUUAACUUCAUAAGUGUGGGGAAAGGUUUUAAGAACCCAAAUUAUACAACGGGUAUAAACGUACUACACCCGCAAAUGUGUAGCGCUGUAAUAGUACUUGGUAAAUUGAUCAACGUAUCAUUUGACAUUUUUUGUAAAUAACAUUUUUCAAAUUUUAGUGUAUGAAGGUUGAGCAGCUGUUCAAGUCUGCUUGAGUUGAAAACGGGUUUUUGGGCAAGAUCCAUGUAUAACUGUUUUAGUUCAAGUAAAUCACCAAAAAAGGGAUA